GAGAAGUGAAAAUAAUGUUAUAUCACCAUAUUCAAAGGGUUGAAAGAGUCUUGUUUGGAGUUGUGUGGGGUUAAAUAAUUAUGUUUGCAAUAUUUCAGAAGUUGGUAGAAAAAGAAAAUAAAAAUAGAAAAGAAAAAAAUGAAUUAAAAAAAGUAGAAGGAUGUAUACAUGUCAAUACAUACUUCUUAUGAAAAAGAAAAAAAUAAGAAGAAAAAAAGAGAAAAGAGAAAAAAUAUGAAUGAAAACAGUUACUAUAGAGUUGUUGAAGUGAAUGAAAUAUUUUGUUAAUUCAACUCCCGCAGUUUCUUUCAAGUCUCUUUUGUCUCUUUGAAUUUUAGCCUAGUACCCCUUAGGAUUGUUAAUUCAACUCCCGCAGUUUCUUUCAAGUCUCUUUUGUCUCUUUGAAUUUUAGCCUAGUACCCCUUAGGAUUUAUCUCACCCUUACCUUG
This 449-nucleotide long non-coding RNA is filed under the name Lathyrus oleraceus (garden pea). RNAcentral's name for it is "Pisum sativum (pea) long non-coding RNA (PSAT_LNC003184)". The record is from RNAcentral. Lineage: Eukaryota; Viridiplantae; Streptophyta; Magnoliopsida; Fabales; Fabaceae.